RNAcentral lists this ribosomal RNA (616 nucleotides) under uncultured Legionella sp. Its description in RNAcentral is "bacterial SSU rRNA". It matches the Rfam family "Bacterial small subunit ribosomal RNA", at positions 242 to 849 of the family's 1533-position model. Lineage: Bacteria; Pseudomonadati; Pseudomonadota; Gammaproteobacteria; Legionellales; Legionellaceae. The record is from RNAcentral.
UAGCUAGUUGGUGGGGUAAGGGCCUACCAAGGCGACGAUCGGUAGCUGGUCUGANAGGAUGGCCAGCCACACUGGAACUGAGACACGGUCCAGACUCCUACGGGAGGCAGCAGUGGGGAAUAUUGGACAAUGGGGGCAACCCUGAUCCAGCAAUGCCGCGUGUGUGAAGAAGGCCUGAGGGUUGUAAAGCACUUUCAGUGGGGAGGAGGGUUGAUAGGUUAAGAGCUAAUUAACUGGACGUUACCCACAGAAGAAGCACCGGCUAACUCCGUGCCAGCAGCCGCGGUAAUACGGAGGGUGCGAGUGUUAAUCGGAAUUACUGGGCGUAAAGGGUACGUAGGUGGUUGAUUAAGUUAUCUGUGAAAUUCCUGGGCUUAACCUGGGACGGUCAGAUAAUACUGGUUGACUCGAGUAUGGGAGAGGGUAGUGGAAUUUCCGGUGUAGCGGUGAAAUGCGUAGAGAUCGGAAGGAACACCAGUGGCGAAGGCGGCUACCUGGCCUAAUACUGACACUGAGGCACGAAAGCGUGGGGAGCAAACAGGAUUAGAUACCCUGGUAGUCCACGCUGUAAACGAUGUCAACUAGCUGUUGGUUAUAUGAAAAUAAUUAGUGGCGC